CAGCCGGCACCGGGCGGCAGCAGCGCCGCCCAGCUCAGCCCGGGGGCAGGGACAGAGCAGAGGGAAAAGCCGGGGCAGUUCUGUCACAAGAAGCAACAGUGCACGCCCAGAAAAAUAGCUCAAGGCAAGGUCCCCUUUCAUACUGAAGCAUUCAGUGAAUAUGACCAGCAGAGACCCCUCUUAAUGAAUCUGCAGGACCAUCAAAAGACUUCCAGGAGGAGAAGUAUUGCAACUUGCUGGAAUUCCAGAUUGUGUCAAAUAUGACACUUUGCAUUUGUUCAGCAGUUUCAUUGUGCUGCAAGAGGGAGCUACCCUGGGUCAGACAUGACAUUGGAGAUGGAGGCUUCUGAUAGCUGACUAAGAGGCCAACCUGGUGAUCCCAGUGCCUUUGGAGAUGGCUGAGGUGGACUCCUUUUGCAUCCAAGGGAGAGCAUGUAAACCUGAUAUGAACGGAGGAGACCAGAGGAGCACAGCAGCGAGGUGGUCUGCAGCAUUGAAAUUGCUACUCCAACAUGACAGACACCCUUGCAGAAAGAGGUCACAGUUGAGCAGUUUCAGGUGGAACCUACCUCGGCAAUGCAACACUUUUGGACACUACAUCGGCAUGUGCCUUUCCAUUUUGUUUUUCCUCUUCUCCCCUGGGAAGGAAGUAAACCUGGAUAUCAGCAGUCAAGGUUGAGUGAGUGAGGUGGCCCACUUGUAUUAUGCCUGCAGGGGCUGAACCCCCUCAUGGACCAGCUGAUGGAGCCAGUUUAUCACCCUUGAGCUGCCCCUGUGCGCCUUCCAGAAGUAUUACAGGGCUCUGUGAUGAAGCCUGUACCUUUUCUGUUUGAAGGGAUACCCUGUGACAGUGGCCUCGGAGUGCGGCCACAGCGUGUGAGCCGAGGACCGGGGCGUUCUCGGGAGCCGUAGACUGAGAGAACAGCCCUCUGAGGGCAGGAG
Long non-coding RNA from Corvus hawaiiensis (hawaiian crow), 942 nucleotides. RefSeq lists it as uncharacterized. The record is from RefSeq and is a predicted model, not a curated record. The transcript is spliced from 9 exons. Lineage: Eukaryota; Metazoa; Chordata; Aves; Passeriformes; Corvidae.